Molecule: long non-coding RNA, 203 nt
Filed under: Carica papaya (papaya)
Lineage: Eukaryota; Viridiplantae; Streptophyta; Magnoliopsida; Brassicales; Caricaceae
Description: long non-coding RNA (CPAP_LNC001518)
Source: RNAcentral
UCUUUUUUGUCAAUCUUACUACACUAAUAAUUAGAUAUAAAUACGUAGUAUACACAUCCAAAAACUUGAAAAUAGUUACUUAUAGGUUUGAUGUUCUAUAACUUUUAAAAGGAUGAAAGAAAAUAUAACCUUUGUUAACGAAGCCAAUUGAUCACAAAAGUCGUAGUCUUUAUUAUUCUACCUCAAAUCAUCUAGGGACAUCU